Molecule: ribosomal RNA, 252 nt
Filed under: uncultured bacterium
Lineage: Bacteria
Description: partial 16S ribosomal RNA
Rfam family: Bacterial small subunit ribosomal RNA
Source: RNAcentral
UACGGAGGAUGCGAGCGUUAUCCGGAUUUAUUGGGUUUAAAGGGUGCGUAGGCGGACGCUUAAGUCAGCGGUAAAAUUGCGGGGCUCAACCUCGUCGAGCCGUUGAAACUGGGUGCCUUGAGUGGGCGAGAAGUACGCGGAAUGCGUGGUGUAGCGGUGAAAUGCAUAGAUAUCACGCAGAACUCCGAUUGCGAAGGUAGCGUACCGGCGCCCAACUGACGCUGAAGCACGAAGGCGUGGGUAUCGAACAGG